This is an RNA transcript of Girardinichthys multiradiatus, 4018 nucleotides long. It is a transcript of the gene named gastrula zinc finger protein XlCGF57.1-like, with no coding region annotated. NCBI's taxonomy places the organism in Eukaryota, Metazoa, Chordata, Actinopteri, Cyprinodontiformes, Goodeidae. The transcript has 4 exons. The record is from RefSeq and is a predicted model, not a curated record.
UUUAUGACUUCUAAACAGCAAGUGAUAUUGGACUUUGACUGAACAUUUUUAAGUAUGUCUUGUCGGUUGUGUUCUCUGUUUUCGCACCUCCUGUGUUGAUGUACCUGAUGUGACUACUGUCUGUAAACUGCCCCUCAAGGACAUUAGGUAUGACUUGCUUUAAGGGACAUUUUCCACCAGUCAUCAGGGGGCCUAAACUGAGUUCACCUAAGACAGACAUGAAGAAUCAAACAAGGGUAGAAUAUCAUAAAUACCAGGAGAUCUGGAUUAAGGUCUAACUCCCAUCACUAAACUGAAGGUAAAAAAAGGAAAUCUUAUAUUAUUAUUAUACAUUGAGAACCUCUGAGAUAAAUUUGCAAAACUACAAAACAGGUCCUUAUUCCACCAGAGAGCAAAACGGGAGAGAAAAUGGAUGAAAGAGGAAAUAAAUUAAUUCUGUAGUAAAAGCAGCAGCUGAGGUGUAUUUGAAAUAUAUAAACUGAAACUAGUUCGAAAGCGAAGACUGGAUCCUCUGGUUAAUGCAAGUACAAUACAUAGAAGUAAGCCAGGUUUUCAGACAGGAUUAAUUUUUGCCAUUUUCAUUUUCAAAAUCUAAGGAAACAAACUGACAAUGACAUAGGAUUUCAUUAAGAUCUCAACAAGAAGUUACUUUCUGGUUGAAUAUCAUGUUCAGUUUUUUUUUUCUUUUCAUGUUUGCAAUACUUCAGAUUCAGCUUAGAAAAAAGAAAAGCAUGUAAAACACUGUGAGCGUAUAUACAUUAAUAUUACUUGUUAGGAAUAACCUUGUUUACUGUUACUUAUUGAUGAGCUUUUACACACACACCAUAAUGAUAAAGUAUAAAUCCUAACGUUUUCACUUUUGUCAGGAUGGGAUAAGACUCCUCACAGACGCACAUUAUAAGGACAAAUGACCUAGAGUUUGACAUAAAGUUUAGUAUAUUGGGUUUGAUUGUGGGACAGUUUGUAACGGGGUUGAUUAAAUUGCUGCAGCCACACUUAGAAUCAGAGUUGGACACCUGCUAUUACACACUCUAUCAGACACCACAAUGGUGACACAUUGUCUACUGGUAAACACUGAGGGAGUGUAUGUCCCUUGCAUGGGAGUGCUAGUAAUAGAAACCGUGUGUGGCCUUCUUUCGAGGCUGCUUCGUCACUUUGAUCACCAAGAGGGUUAAGGACGGGAGCCAUCAGCGCUGAUCUUUGGAAGUAUUCCUCUGCCUUAUUUAGAAUAAAACUGUUGAGGGUAUAGAAUAGUUUGAGAGUCACUACUUUAAGAGACAUGGUUGAAAACAGUGGUGACAUUUCUGGGGAAAAAGAAUUUGGUGGAGCUCCGAGGCGUCUAACCGCCGACGGUUCAGUAGCUCGGACAACUACAAAGACUAUUAGAUCAAUGGUCAUGUUUUUGAGCUCCUGGAUGUCUAUAAACAGCUUUCCUGACUUAAAAUAUUUUACUCAGCCCCACAUUAAAUGUGAGCUUUGUUAAUGACAGUUCUAGAGACCUGAUGAUAAUAUGCUACAGUGAAUGAUGAAAUAAACCAACAAUGCCUUUUUAAUAAUGAUUAACUUUCAAGCUUCUGUGAGGAAAUAAACAAUGUUUUUACACCAUGUAAACAAUACAACCCUAAUUUUAAAGAAUUUAUUGUCACAUACAAGCCAUAAACUGCUAUAAAUCCAGUGAGAAACAGCAGCUCCUUCAUUCAGUUAAAUGUUAUCAUAGCUGCAGUUUCCCCUCCCAAUAUGGCGGCCGUAUUGACGUGUCACUGCGGCGCUCUGUGCGUGACAUGGAGGAGUCCGGGAGAGAUUUCCGUCUCCACAGGCUAUUUACCGCUGCUGUGUAUGCACCUAGGGUUGGAUUAAACUUUAGGGGACAGAUUAUUAUAAAUUGAGGAUGAUAUUAGCCGAAUAAUCCCAGAAGGACCACCGAUCGGAUCAUCGUUGGAGGAUCAAACAGAAAGAAAACAAAGGUUCAGUUCAGAGAUGAAAACCUUAAUCUUAAAAUCCGACGAAGAACCAGCUGCAAUCAGGCUCUUUAACUGUGGUUUUGUGUGAUUACAGUUAUAAACCUCUUCACUAAUAAGGAGGAAAAUCACAAAUGGAGGGAAGUUGUCUGAAUGCUGAACAUUCAUUCAGACUGUCCUCGUACCUGCAGCCUCUACAUAAGAACUGGAGCAGACGGAAGCCAGCGAAGAUCCCAGGCUGCCUGGUAAAGAAGAGGUUCCCCUGAGUUUCAAUGAGCCGGAUACAGAAACUAUGGAGAUUAAGGAUGAAGCGAAGGAAGUCAGAAUCUCCUUUACUGAAGAAACUAUAAAAACUGAAGAUGAUGAAAAAUACCACUCCUCACGGCUUAAUCGAAUUAAAACUGAAGACGACAGAGAGACGAAUCCUCCAACCACCACCUCAGCUGAACAUGUGAAGACAGAGACUGAUGGAGAGGACUGUGAGGGGCCAGAGCCAACCAGAAGCUCUGAUACUUUACUGCUAAAUGAUAAUAACCAUGUGUCAGAAACUAAUGCUGAGGAUGAUCAUUGUCAGAAAUCUGCUGAUUUUAGAUCUGAAGCAGAUGACAGUGGCUAUAGUAAAACUGGUGUAUCUAGGUCAAGUGUGAAUCUUGAUGUAUGUUGUAGCACUACCAAAACCUCCUUUGGUUGCGUUAAGUGUGGUAAACAGUUUCACCACAAAAAAUCCCUUACAAGGCACUUGCAUGUCCAUGCUAGAGAAAAUCCAUUUCCUUGUCAAACAUGUGGGGAAGCAUUUAGUCAAAAUAUAGUCCUCAAGAGACAUUUAACAAUUCACAAAGAAGAAAAGGUGUUUCGCUGUGAGCAUUGUGGCAAAACAUUUCCCCAUAGAUGGUAUCUUAGGAAACAUGUCAAAAUUCACACUGGAAAAAAGGAAUUUAGCUGUGCUGAGUGUGGAAAAAUAUUUAACUUUAAAGCUCAUCUGAAGUCCCACAUGGUGGUCCACACAGAUGAGAAACCUUUUAGCUGUGAUGUUUGUGGUAAACAUUUUCGCAGAAAUUAAGAAGUUAAGUCUCAUAUGAGAGUGCACACUGAUGAGAAGCCGUGCAGCUGUAGCAUCUGUGGGCAAAGUUUUAACUGUAGGUUUCAUCUUAAAACACAUAUGGAAGUCCACUCUGGAGAGAAAGCUUUUGGCUGUGAUGUUUGUAGGAAACUAUUUGGUUAUAUGACACGUCUUAAGAGACACAUGCAAACACACACCAGAGAGAAACCAUUUAACUGUGAGGGUUGUGGAAAAAGCUUUAGUUCUAAACCGCUUCUGAAGAAACACAUGAUUAUCCAUUCAGGGGAGAGACCUUUUACCUGUGAGGUCUGUGGUAAAACAUUUCGUGCUAAACGACACCAUGAAUAUCAAAUGAGGAUACACACAGGAGACAAGCUUCUUGACUGUUUUCUUUGUGGAAAAAGAUUUAACCGUAGUGCAAAUCCAAAGGCUCACAUGUGUAUCCACAGUGGGAAAAGCCAUUUAUUUGUGAGGACUGUGGAAAAGGUUUUAGUGCACAAGAAAGUCUUGCACUCCACAUGCUAGUUCACAAAGUAGAGAAACCUUUUAGCUGUGAUCUUUGUGGUAAAUCAUUUCGUAGAAAAGCAGACCUUAAAAUACACAUGAGAAUACACACAGGGGAGAGACCUUUUGAGUGUGAAAUAUGUGGGAAAAGAUUUCGCCAACGCUCGUAUGUUAAAAUACAUGUGAAACUCCAUAAUGGAGGGGAGUCAUUUGUCUGCCAUAUUUGUAGUAAAGCCUUCCUUCAGAAAGGAUCUCUUUUAAAACACACAAGAGUUCACACAGGAGAGAAACCAUUCAGCUGUAAUGUCUGUAGCAAUGUUUUUAGUGAAAAACAUGCACUCACGAAUCAUUUUAAGAUAACACACAUCAAACCAAUCUGAUUCAGAAAAACAACUGUCCAGGCUUUAUUCACAUUCCUUGCAAACUGGCUGUAUACGUAUAACUUUAUGGGGAUUAUAGUUUUUUUCCCCCCAUUAAAAAGAGCUUCAUUACUAAA